UACGAAGGGGGCUAGCGUUGCUCGGAAUUACUGGGCGUAAAGCGCACGUAGGCGGCCUGUUGCGUCCGCUGUGAAAGCCCGGGGCUUAACCCCGGGUCGGCAGUGGAUACGGGCAGGCUAGAGGUAGGUAGGGGAGAAUGGAAUUCCCGGUGUAGCGGUGAAAUGCGCAGAUAUCGGGAGGAACACCGGUGGCGAAGGCGGUUCUCUGGGCCUUACCUGACGCUGAGGAGCGAAAGCGUGGGGAGCGAACAGG
RNAcentral lists this ribosomal RNA (253 nucleotides) under uncultured bacterium. RNAcentral's name for it is "partial 16S ribosomal RNA". It matches the Rfam family "Bacterial small subunit ribosomal RNA", at positions 524 to 776 of the family's 1533-position model. The record is from RNAcentral.